Molecule: ribosomal RNA, 529 nt
Filed under: uncultured bacterium
Lineage: Bacteria
Description: bacterial SSU rRNA
Rfam family: Bacterial small subunit ribosomal RNA
Source: RNAcentral
CCUACGGGAGGCAGCAGGAGGAAUAUUGGUCAAUGGGCGCAAGCCUGAACCAGCCAUGCCGCGUGCAGGAUGACGGUCCUAUGGAUUGUAAACUGCUUUUGUACGGGAAGAAACCCUCGUACGUGUAGGAGCUUGACGGUACCGUAAGAAUAAGGAUCGGCUAACUCCGUGCCAGCAGCCGCGGUAAUACGGAGGAUCCAAGCGUUAUCUGGAAUCAUUGGGUUUAAAGGGUCUGUAGGCGUUCUUGUAAGUCAGUGGUGAAAGCCCAUCGCUCAACGGUGGAACGGCCAUUGAUAAUGCUGGACUUGAAUUAUUGGGAAGCAACUAGAAUAUGUAGGGUAGCGGUGAAAUGGUUAGAGAUUACAUGGAAUACCAAUUGCGAAGGCAGGUUGCUACCAAUGGAUUGACGCUGAUGGACGAAAGCGUGGGUAGCGAACAGGAUUAGAUACCCUGGUAGUCCACGCCGUAAACGAUGGAUACUAGCUGUUGGGCGCAAGUUCAGUGGCUCAGCGAAACGAUAAGAUCCCCC